Long non-coding RNA from Neoarius graeffei (lesser salmon catfish), 1939 nucleotides. RefSeq lists it as uncharacterized. Lineage: Eukaryota; Metazoa; Chordata; Actinopteri; Siluriformes; Ariidae. The transcript has 7 exons. The record is from RefSeq and is a predicted model, not a curated record.
AGUCAGACAGAACUGAGGAGCCUUUUGGAGGAGAGGUGGAACGUUUUCAAGAAUCUUCAAGCAAGUCCAGUUGCCCGUUUCUACCACCCACAGUUCACCAUGACCUGGAUGACUGAGAAUCUUCACAGACAAACCCGGAAGUGCUGAUGCGACCCAGAGCCCUACCUUCCAUGUGCCGAGUCCCAGCAGAGGCAUGUCGCCUCCGGAGCUCAGCUUCACCGAACCGGCCAUUCCGGACAGGAUCCGCUUUUCUCCUCCGGGAUUAGGAAAUGUCACAACCGGAACCGGCUAAAGGAAAUGACGCCAGGCCACGUCACUGACGCGUCACUCGCUCUCACAGAAGUGCCUGCUGCUUGUAGUGUCAAGCGAUUGGGACGUGAUCUUACCCAGCUGUCUGCUGUACUCCCUGCUGUAAUAGAAGAACAGCUCCUGCUCAGGGAGAAUCUCUCUGGACGUACAGAAGAACAGCUUCCCGUUAUCGAUAUACGCCACCAGAUUCUGCUCCUCCGUCGUCCUGCAAAAAAUAAAUAAGAACUGAAAAUAACCCAAAAGCAUCUGGGACUGAGAUUAUACUGAAAGACUUGUGAUCAUGAGUUGGGGCGUGUCUUUCUCAGUCCAGUCGGAGAGCUCAACGCUGCUGCAGUGCUGUCCAACCAUCGGACCGAAGCAGGUCCUGCUGGGAAUCGUCUCCCGCGCAAACACACCUGAAGAGAUUACACAGUAAAUAUCUCCACUGACCGUUGGGCUCAUCAGCCACAGACACGCGGAGGCACAGCGGGCGGGGCAAAGAGAGGCGGGCUCUGCUCUGGAUGGGCGUGUCUGGGAUGAAGGUCACAGGCCCAUGUUCGGGACAGUCAGAGCUACGGUGAACGCGGUGCUCAGGCCCUCCUUGUUUGUGGCAGCGUUCUCCAGCUGCAGCGUGGAGUUGACCAGGACGAGGCUGUUAUCUGGGCCGAGCGAGACCUCGGCGGUGAUCGGGGACACGUUUACGGGCUCCAGGCCCAUGCCUGAGCUGUGCAGUGAGACAGGUUCGAGCUGAGUCUGCGGUGCCAUGGCCCCGGUGAGCACCACACUGACCACGCCAGAGUUCAGCUCACCGUUAGUGUGUAGCGCUUCAGUUCCUGAGCUGCUCCCUACACGUGCACUCAUGUGCUCCUGCUCCAUCACCACGGGCAGCUCCAGUCCAGGGCCGUGCAGGGCCAUGACGCCACCCUCCAGGCUCUCAUGGGGUUGAGUCCUGCCUCCGAGAGGCUGCUGCGCAUCUGCGCUCACUACCACUCCGUCCAUGGUGGCCAGCUCUUCGCCCAUCCCGUCAGGAGACAUGGGGCUGUUCACGCGCGACUCCAUCGCCAGCCCAGUGGCGUCCAGCUGCACCUCAUGAGCGCCGCCCUGGUGGAGGUCGGACUGCCGCGAGUCGAUGGAUACCAGGCCUUGUUCUAAAUGUCCACCUGGGCCGCUGUACGGGUCGAGGGAUGAAGGGUUGUUGUUUGGCACCGACAAACUGGUGUCCAUGUUCAGGCUGCUGGGGUGGAUGUACUGCGGCGGGGGACGGUCGGCCAAAUACGACAAAAUACCUACGGGGGGCAGAUAUAAAAAUGGCUUGAGCGCUGUAACCUGGAGUGGUGAUGGGGUUGUGGCUGUGAGUGGGUGAGGUAGAAAGGCCCAGAUGACUGGCACUGACGGAGGGCACACUGAGCUGGUCCAUGCCCACCGGGCUGAGGUUCAUGUCGUUCAUUCUGAGCAGAAACCAGAAUAAAUCUCAAACACGGAGUACAAAGACAAAAUAUUAAAAUGUUGAACUUUGGAUGUUGAAAUGUUAUUGUGUGACAACUGGAAGCUCAUUUAGAAUUGGCUGCGACUCCUGAUCAUGAUAAAUGUGUGUCCUCCUGUGACGUCAGGGCAUCACACAACUGCUAAUAAAUACUAACUCAAUAUAAAA